RNAcentral lists this ribosomal RNA (369 nucleotides) under uncultured organism. RNAcentral's name for it is "bacterial SSU rRNA". It matches the Rfam family "Bacterial small subunit ribosomal RNA", at positions 526 to 896 of the family's 1533-position model. The record is from RNAcentral.
CGUAGGGUGCGAGCGUUAAUCGGGAUUACUGGGCGUAAAGCGUGCGCAGGCGGUUUUGAAGACAGAUGUGAAAUCCCCGGGCUCAACCUGGGACCUGCAUUUGUGACUGCAAGGCUAGAGUACGGUAGAGGGGGAUGGAAUUCCGCGUGUAGCAGUGAAAUGCGUAGAUAUGCGGAGGAACACCGAUGGCGAAGGCAAUCCCCUGGACCUGUACUGACGCUCAUGCACGAAAGCGUGGGGAGCAAACAGGAUUAGAUACCCUGGUAGUCCACGCCCUAAACGAUGUCAACUGGUUGUUGGGUCUUUACUGACUCAGUAACGAAGCUAACGCGUGAAGUUGACCGCCUGGGGAGUACGGCCGCAAGGUUG